CCAUGUGACAUACCUACUGUUGCUUCGGCGGGAUUGCCCCGGGCGCCUCGUGUGCCCCGGAUCAGGCGCCCGCCUAGGAAACUUAAUUCUUGUUUUAUUUUGGAAUCUUCUGAGUAGUUUUUACAAAUAAAUAAAAACUUUCAACAACGGAUCUCUUGGUUCUGGCAUCGAUGAAGAACGCAGCGAAAUGCGAUAAGUAAUGUGAAUUGCAGAAUUCAGUGAAUCAUCGAAUCUUUGAACGCACAUUGCGCCCGCCAGUAUUCUGGCGGGCAUGCCUGUCUGAGCGUCAUUUCAACCCUCAUGCCCCUAGGGCGUGGUGUUGGGGAUCGGCCAAAGCCCGCGAGGGACGGGCGGCCCCUAAAUCUAGUGGCGGACCCGUCGUGGCCUCCUCUGCGAAGUAGUGAUAUUCCGCAUCGGAUAGCGACGAGCCCCUGCCGUUAAACCCCCAACUUUCCAAGGUUGACCUCAGAUCAG
RNAcentral lists this ribosomal RNA (474 nucleotides) under Clonostachys rosea. RNAcentral's name for it is "eukaryotic LSU rRNA". The stretch from base 136 to 289 matches the Rfam family "5.8S ribosomal RNA". Lineage: Eukaryota; Fungi; Ascomycota; Sordariomycetes; Hypocreales; Bionectriaceae. The record is from RNAcentral.